Molecule: non-coding RNA, 577 nt
Organism: Schizosaccharomyces pombe (fission yeast)
Lineage: Eukaryota; Fungi; Ascomycota; Schizosaccharomycetes; Schizosaccharomycetales; Schizosaccharomycetaceae
Source: the annotation of a GenBank genome assembly
AAUUUCCUUUAGGAUACUUAGGAUGUUGAAAACGGUGACCACCGUACACUAAACGAGCUCCUUUGCUAACAGCAUCCUGUAUUAAAGAUUCUAAAUGAUCAAAUCGAUUAUUAGAUACCAUAGCACCCAUAUCGACAUCAUUUUGGGUGUACAUGCCAAGUCUCAUAGUGGAAAUUCUGUUGUAUAAUUUCGUAAUUAUGGUGUCGUAAACGCCAUCCAAAGCAAUGAUACGCUCAAUACCAAUACAAUUUUGUCCGGCACUUUGGAAAACACCUCGCAUAACUAUAGACAAGAUCUCUUCUAGUCUGUGGUCGUCAGUUAAAAUACAAGGAUCUUUUCCUCCUAAUUCAAGGCACAAGGGAGUAAGUUGUUUUGCAGCAGAAGCAGCAACCAAUUUUGCGAUAGGCUGAGAACCAAUGAAAGUUAUAUGCUUAAUUCCAGAGUGACUGGUAAGGUGAUCAGCAACAUCUGGUAGACAAGUAAUACAUUGAACGAGUUCAGGGGAAUGGCCCAUUGAUUGUAAUAAACUACGAACCAUUUCACAAUAUUGAUGUGUAGACCACGCUGUAAGCUCGCU